RNAcentral lists this ribosomal RNA (315 nucleotides) under uncultured bacterium. RNAcentral's name for it is "bacterial SSU rRNA". It matches the Rfam family "Bacterial small subunit ribosomal RNA", at positions 28 to 334 of the family's 1533-position model. The record is from RNAcentral.
GACGAACGCUGGCGGCGUGCUUAACACAUGCAAGUCGAGCGGGGAUUGAUGAAGUGCUUGCACAGAUUCAAUUCUAGCGGCGGACGGGUGAGUAACGCGUGAACAAUCUGUCCCAGACAGGGGGAUAACACUUGGAAACAGGUGCUAAUACCGCAUAAGACCACGAGGAGACAUCUUCUUGGGGUAAAAGAUUUAUCGGUUUGGGGUGAGUUCGCGUCCGAUUAGCUAGUUGGUGAGGUAACGGCCCACCAAGGCGACGAUCGGUAGCCGACCUGAGAGGGUGAUCGGCCACAUUGGAACUGAGACACGGUCCAA